This 21-nucleotide small RNA is filed under the name Arabidopsis thaliana (thale cress). RNAcentral describes it as "ATSL246020". The record is from RNAcentral. Lineage: Eukaryota; Viridiplantae; Streptophyta; Magnoliopsida; Brassicales; Brassicaceae.
AGACAAAGAAGAAGAAAAAAU